Phycisphaerae bacterium is the source of this 269-nucleotide non-coding RNA. Lineage: Bacteria; Pseudomonadati; Planctomycetota; Phycisphaerae. The record is from Rfam.
AAUUGAAUCAUGUCUCCAGGACAAGGCCGUUAUGGUCUUGCACGAGGGAACACGGUUAGAAUCCGUGGCGGACGCGCCGCUGUAUUCGCUUUCCGGUCUAAAUGAAACGUCAAUCAAUGCGAUUGACCAGUUCAGGCCGGCGAAUCGGGCGAGAAACCACUGUUGGCAACUUGUUUUAUUUGAUUAACUUAAACACAACAAGCUGCGAGCGGGAAGGUGCCCGAUAUUGAAGCGUAAGUCAGAAAACCUGCCUGAGACAGAAUACUUGU